This 629-nucleotide unclassified non-coding RNA is filed under the name Hevea brasiliensis (rubber tree). Lineage: Eukaryota; Viridiplantae; Streptophyta; Magnoliopsida; Malpighiales; Euphorbiaceae. The record is from RNAcentral.
GGUAACUGCAGCAACUUGUUCCUUCAUGAUCUUCUUUUCAUCUACCAUGUCUGCAUUUCAAUGCUUACUUUCCAGCAUGGAGCAAGCAGACACCGUCCUUAUCUUUGCAGCGAUAUGCUUUGUUGCUUCGCUUCUCGGAUUGAUGGUAGUAAAAAGAACUAUAAAAGAAUAUGGCAGGGCUUCUAUGAUUGUGUUCUUAGUUGGUAUUGUGAUGGCAUUGCGUACGGUUCUCAUAACCAGCUUUGAAUCCAUUGACGUGUGGAGAGAGUAUAAAUCGGGCAAAAACAUAGGCUUUAAAUUUCCCUGUUGAAAAUAAACAGGAACUUGGUUUCUCGAGUGGCUAGCUCCAUAUGAAAACGAGCAGAACUGCCUCUCAUAUAUAUGUGAAGCAGCAUUUCACAUACUAAUUAUCCUGUUGGGGGUGGUGGUUCAUAAGGCUGGAAGAUAAUAGCCAAAGCUGACAUUUUGUCGCGGGAGCUUCCCUCAUUCCUUUUAUCAAGUAUAAUGAUGUGAAUUAGCUAUAAUUUGGGUUAUAAUAUGCGAUGUCCUUAUUUUGCCACAGAUCCAUUGGAGCAUGGAAAAUAGUCAAGGUAAAUGCCCUAAAUAUUAUUAUUACUACUAUUAUACAA